This 1625-nucleotide ribosomal RNA is filed under the name Salmonella enterica subsp. enterica serovar Typhimurium. RNAcentral's name for it is "partial 23S ribosomal RNA". It matches the Rfam family "Bacterial large subunit ribosomal RNA", at positions 694 to 2215 of the family's 2925-position model. The record is from RNAcentral. Lineage: Bacteria; Pseudomonadati; Pseudomonadota; Gammaproteobacteria; Enterobacterales; Enterobacteriaceae.
GUUAAGUUGCAGGGUAUAGACCCGAAACCCGGUGAUCUAGCCAUGGGCAGGUUGAAGGUUGGGUAACACUAACUGGAGGACCGAACCGACUAAUGUUGAAAAAUUAGCGGAUGACCUGUGGCUGGGGGUGAAAGGCCAAUCAAACCGGGAGAUAGCUGGUUCUCCCCGAAAGCUAUUUAGGUAGCGCCUCGUGAAUUCAUCUCCGGGGGUAGAGCACUGUUUCGGCUAGGGGGCCAUCCCGGCUUACCAACCCGAUGCAAACUGCGAAUACCGGAGAAUGUUAUCACGGGAGACACACGGCGGGUGCUAACGUCCGUCGUGAAGAGGGAAACAACCCAGACCGCCAGCUAAGGUCCCAAAGUCAUGGUUAAGUGGGAAACGAUGUGGGAAGGCCCAGACAGCCAGGAUGUUGGCUUAGAAGCAGCCAUCAUUUAAAGAAAGCGUAAUAGCUCACUGGUCGAGUCGGCCUGCGCGGAAGAUGUAACGGGGCUAAACCAUGCACCGAAGCUGCGGCAGCGAACGUAUCACCCAAGACAACUUUACGGAGUUGACGAUUGACGGAGCGAAGCGACGUCAAAGCGUUCAUUAAAGUCGAGUUGGCUUAGGGAUACGUUCGUUGGGUAGGGGAGCGUUCUGUAAGCCUGUGAAGGUGUGUCGUGAGGCAUGCUGGAGGUAUCAGAAGUGCGAAUGCUGACAUAAGUAACGAUAAAGCGGGUGAAAAGCCCGCUCGCCGGAAGACCAAGGGUUCCUGUCCAACGUUAAUCGGGGCAGGGUGAGUCGACCCCUAAGGCGAGGCCGAAAGGCGUAGUCGAUGGGAAACGGGUUAAUAUUCCCGUACUUGGUGUUACUGCGAAGGGGGGACGGAGAAGGCUAUGUUGGCCGGGCGACGGUUGUCCCGGUUUAAGCGUGUAGGUGUGUGUUCCAGGUAAAUCCGGUUCACUUUAACACUGAGGCGUGACGACGAGGCACUACGGUGCUGAAGCAACAAAUGCCCUGCUUCCAGGAAAAGCCUCUAAGCAUCAGGUAACAUCAAAUCGUACCCCAAACCGACACAGGUGGUCAGGUAGAGAAUACCAAGGCGCUUGAGAGAACUCGGGUGAAGGAACUAGGCAAAAUGGUGCCGUAACUUCGGGAGAAGGCACGCUGACACGUAGGUGAAGUGAUUUACUCAUGGAGCUGAAGUCAGUCGAAGAUACCAGCUGGCUGCAACUGUUUAUUAAAAACACAGCACUGUGCAAACACGAAAGUGGACGUAUACGGUGUGACGCCUGCCCGGUGCCGGAAGGUUAAUUGAUGGGGUCAGCGCAAGCGAAGCUCCUGAUCGAAGCCCCGGUAAACGGCGGCCGUAACUAUAACGGUCCUAAGGUAGCGAAAUUCCUUGUCGGGUAAGUUCCGACCUGCACGAAUGGCGUAAUGAUGGCCAGGCUGUCUCCACCCGAGACUCAGUGAAAUUGAACUCGCUGUGAAGAUGCAGUGUACCCGCGGCAAGACGGAAAGACCCCGUGAACCUUUACUAUAGCUUGACACUGAACAUUGAGCCUUGAUGUGUAGGAUAGGUGGGAGGCUUUGAAGUGUGGACGCCAGUCUGCAUGGAGCCGACCUUGAAAUACCACCCUUUAAUGUUU